CCUACGGGGGGCUGCAGUGGGGAAUAUUGCACAAUGGGCGCAAGCCUGAUGCAGCCAUGCCGCGUGUGUGAAGAAGGCCUUCGGGUUGUAAAGCACUUUCAGCGGGGAGGAAGGCGUUAAGGUUAAUAACCUUGGCGAUUGACGUUACCCGCAGAAGAAGCACCGGCUAACUCCGUGCCAGCAGCCGCGGUAAUACGGAGGGUGCAAGCGUUAAUCGGAAUUACUGGGCGUAAAGCGCACGCAGGCGGUCUGUCAAGUCGGAUGUGAAAUCCCCGGGCUCAACCUGGGAACUGCAUUCGAAACUGGCAGGCUAGAGUCUUGUAGAGGGGGGUAGAAUUCCAGGUGUAGCGGUGAAAUGCGUAGAGAUCUGGAGGAAUACCGGUGGCGAAGGCGGCCCCCUGGACAAAGACUGACGCUCAGGUGCGAAAGCGUGGGGAGCAAUCAGGAUUAGAUACCCCAGUAGUC
This 465-nucleotide ribosomal RNA is filed under the name uncultured Klebsiella sp. RNAcentral describes it as "bacterial SSU rRNA". It matches the Rfam family "Bacterial small subunit ribosomal RNA", at positions 338 to 795 of the family's 1533-position model. Lineage: Bacteria; Pseudomonadati; Pseudomonadota; Gammaproteobacteria; Enterobacterales; Enterobacteriaceae. The record is from RNAcentral.